UCACGUGGGAGCUCCACGUCGCGCCUGACUUCGUCAGCGUCCAUCCUGCACUUCAGAGGAGGCAUUCAGGGGUGCUAAAAGUGAGUAGGCGUUGACGAAAAUGGCACUUGUUAUCAUCCUAUAGACAUAGACUGCAGGCAGAGUUGUUACCUGCUCCUUUUCCUUGAGUUUCGCUUCUUUAUUCUGUUUGGCCUUGGCUUCGAAGUCUUCCUUCAACGGCCGUGCCUUCUCAAGGUCUCCUGCAGUCGCAAGAGUCUAUCAUUCAGAUCUACACCGGCUUGCGAGGUCACUAACAUACAAAAAGCUACUGCAGCCUGAGUUCCAGCUUGGUGGAGCAGCUAAAUUCCGCCAGAGGAGAAGCACAGAAGAAGUCCUUGCUGCACACGUUUUGCCUUCCAGAACCACAUCCGUUGGAUGCGGUCGGGAUCUGCGGCUUGCUUCAGUAGCUUGCAAAGCUUCUCCGAGUCCGUCUUGCUGAUUCAGAUGUGCUUGGGAUCCCCAGGUAUCAUUUUAACUCAAAUAUUACUCAUUGUCUACUCAGUCGCAUCAGUAAUAUGAUAGCUCUUACCGGCACAAUAUGCGUCUUGCACAACGGCAAAAUGAAAGCAAGAACGGCGCAAUCCUCUUUCAAUCGAAGGCUUCGGGCUGUCCCCCAAUUCUG
Molecule: long non-coding RNA, 661 nt
Filed under: Coccomyxa subellipsoidea
Lineage: Eukaryota; Viridiplantae; Chlorophyta; Trebouxiophyceae; Coccomyxaceae
Description: long non-coding RNA (CSUB_LNC000555)
Source: RNAcentral